CCUACGGGAGGCAGCAGUGGGGAAUAUUGGGCAAUGGGCGCAAGCCUGACCCAGCAACGCCGCGUGAAGGAAGAAGGCUCUCGGGUUGUAAACUUCUUUUCUUAGGGACGAAGCAAGUGACGGUACCUGCGGAAUAAGCCACGGCUAACUACGUGCCAGCAGCCGCGGUAAUACGUAGGUGGCAAGCGUUAUCCGGAUUUACUGGGUGUAAAGGGCGGGUAGGCGGGGACGGAAGUCAGAUGUGAAAACCAUGGGCUCAACCUGUGGCCUGCAUUUGAAACUGUGUUUCUUGAGUACUGGAGAGGCAGACGGAAUUCCUGGUGUAGCGGUGAAAUGCGUAGAUAUUAGGAGGAACACCAGUGGCGAAGGCGGUCUGCUGGACAGCAACUGACGCUGAGGCGCGAAAGCGUGGGGAGCAAACAGGAUUAGAUACCCUAGUAGUC
RNAcentral lists this ribosomal RNA (443 nucleotides) under uncultured bacterium. RNAcentral's name for it is "partial 16S ribosomal RNA". It matches the Rfam family "Bacterial small subunit ribosomal RNA", at positions 338 to 795 of the family's 1533-position model. The record is from RNAcentral.